Molecule: ribosomal RNA, 271 nt
Filed under: uncultured archaeon
Lineage: Archaea
Description: partial 16S ribosomal RNA
Rfam family: Archaeal small subunit ribosomal RNA
Source: RNAcentral
CAGCGCCACGAGUGGCAAUCGCGAUUAUUUGGCCUAAAGCGUCCGUAGCCGGUUUGACAAAUCUUCUGUGAAACUGUGCAGCUCAACUGUACAACGUGCAGAAGACACUAUCAAGCUUGGAACCGGGAGGGGUACAGAGUAUUCCAGGGGAAGCGGUAAAAUGCUAUAAUCCCUGGAGGACUACCUAUGGCGAAGGCACUGUACCAGAACGGAUUCGACGGUGAGGGACGAAAGCCAGGGGAGCGAUCCGGAUUAGAUACCCGAGUAGUCC